RNAcentral lists this long non-coding RNA (512 nucleotides) under Bos taurus (domestic cattle). Its description in RNAcentral is "long non-coding RNA NONBTAT021458". The record is from RNAcentral. Lineage: Eukaryota; Metazoa; Chordata; Mammalia; Artiodactyla; Bovidae.
ACAAUAACUAUGUCCUUCUUUCUCUCUCCAAACACUCUCACUAGCCUAGCAUAUAAAGAGAUCCUAAGAAAUGUUUACACUAACUUUUAAAAUCCUCAUUUAUAAAAAUUUUAAAAAGGAUGAAGGUGAGGUUCAAGUUGGUUGUGUUUUUAAAUCAGUCUCAUAUAUAGGACUUGGUUACAUAUACCUGAUAUUUUUCAGAGCUUAUAUAAAACAGUGCUAUGAAACCUCUACAUCACAGCUUCUAUAUAUGAAGUAGGUAAAUUGGAUGAAAAUGAUUUCUGAAGUAACCCUAACACCUGCGGCUCUUGGUUUGUGACUUGUGGCAUAGGUCGUCAGAUGAGCAAAUCAGACCUGCUGAAUUUUGAUCUGGCUCCAUUCUCACAUACCGAGAAGCACUUGUUAGUAAAUAUUGCCAGUUCAGAGAAUACAGGAAAUCGUAGUAAGGACCUAUUCAUAAGCAUUCGUGUGUAUAUUUGUACAUAUGACUAAGACUAGAAAAUUUUGGGGGG